Molecule: non-coding RNA, 1118 nt
Organism: Zootermopsis nevadensis
Lineage: Eukaryota; Metazoa; Arthropoda; Insecta; Blattodea; Termopsidae
Source: RefSeq, a predicted model, not a curated record
UCGAUGAUCAUUCGUUCGAGUUACUUAUACGAGGAAAACCAGUAGUAGCCAACAAUUUUUCUUUUCCUUGAGCGGGUCAACUUGGACUCAAUCUUUGAAUGGAAGAAGAUUAGUUCGUAAUUACACGCAGCACUCACAACAUCUAUCAGGAAUUAUUCGAGUUACUCCAACGAAGUACACAGUACACACAAACGAUGUCGCUAGUCGCCUAAUCCCCAGAACUUUGGUAUCGAUUGUCUUCCAUUUUGGAUCCAACCGGAAACAAGCUACGUUGAUUCUGAUCAUGGACGGCUAAAAUGUUGUGUGGAACGUGUUUGUAUUCUGCUAGUUCUUAAUGGUGUAAUAGGAUGUCCAAGAGAGUCAUUGCCGAAGAAAUUGCUGUUUCAAGUGGUGAGUGAUGGGACCAACAUGGAGCAUCUCAGAUGUACAUGAAACUAUUUCCUGAAUGACAGUUCAGCUUGAAGGAGACCUGCCACUCUUUUCCACACCAACCGUGUGGAUUGUGUGCGCUGCAGAGCAGUUCCUGCAUCCUUGAAAGCAUAGAUGAGUUCUGUCAACUAAAAUGCUCCCUGGGCUGCACUCCAGAGAAGUAACAAUGACUGUUUGCUGUUGGGGAAAUCUGUAAUUCGAGCCUAGCAAGCGAGCAUACCGCCUCGAGACAAUGGGUGUACAAAAUACUAAGGUAGUCCGCCUCAUCUCAGAAUAGCUGCGGGUAAGACAGAAGACUCGUCUUCAGGCUGUUACGGCAAAGAGGGCCAGAGCUUCUGGAGAGAUGCUUGUAAUCAAUUGUAGGUUUCCUGAUGUGAGUAACGUAACUGGUAAGUGCUGAUACGUUUCUUUUGGUGGUAACCAGAUUUGGCCAGGUCGUUCUUUAUUCUGACCGAGGUUGUUUCGUGGUUUAAUAUUUAGAAUUAAUAGCAAAUCACAGCUCUGUUGUAGAUUACUAAUUAAUUUAAAUUUUACAGUGUGGAACUUAUCACCAGUUUUGUAAGCCAACAGGAUACUGAUUUUAAAAAUAAAAAAAGAGGAUGGAUAUCAUUUAUGUAUGACAUGUUCCAAUUUUUAGUUUUGGCAGUAUUUUGUAGAAAGUUUUAUAGGAAUAAACAUAUUCCGAAGAA